AGGGCCGUAGCUCAGGGGUAGAGCGCUACCUUGACACGGUAGAAGUCGUCGGUUCGAGACCGUCCGGCCCUA
Molecule: transfer RNA, 72 nt
Filed under: Nannocystaceae bacterium
Lineage: Bacteria; Pseudomonadati; Myxococcota; Nannocystales; Nannocystaceae
Rfam family: tRNA
About the family: Transfer RNA (tRNA) molecules are approximately 80 nucleotides in length. Their secondary structure includes four short double-helical elements and three loops (D, anti-codon, and T loops).
Source: Rfam by way of RNAcentral